GCAGGUGGAAUGUGGUCGCCCCGCUUUCGGCGGGGAGGAAAGUCCGGGCUCCGGAGGAUAGCGCAGUAGGGUAAUGCCUACCCUUUGGUAACUAACCAAAGAGGAUUAUCCCGCAAGGUUAGCUUUUAAAAGCUAACCUUGCGGGAUCAUUGCCUGAGAUGUAAACGCAGGCAAUGAGAGCCACAGAGACGAGUAGCCGUUGAAGAUUGUGAUGAGUAAGAUCCUGAGCCGCCUAUGGCGGCUCAGGAUCAUCUCGCAGUCUUCGACUGCGAGAUGAAACGAGGCAAUCUCUGCGUGGAGCAAGGCGAAUAGGAGAUAAUCUACUAGGUAUGUUGAGUGGAACGCGCUGGUCCGGCGCGUCAUUAAUCUCGGGUAUUAAGCUGCUUGAGCUUCGAUGGUAACAUCGGCGUCGAGAGGAAUGAUCACUAAUCGAUAGCGAAAAAUCGCAUCAAGACAGAACCCGGCUUAUUUCACCUGCUUUU
Molecule: RNase P RNA, 482 nt
Filed under: Candidatus Omnitrophota bacterium
Lineage: Bacteria; Pseudomonadati; Candidatus Omnitrophota
Description: RNase P RNA component class A
Rfam family: Bacterial RNase P class A
About the family: Ribonuclease P (RNase P) is a ubiquitous endoribonuclease, found in archaea, bacteria and eukarya as well as chloroplasts and mitochondria. Its best characterised activity is the generation of mature 5'-ends of tRNAs by cleaving the 5'-leader elements of precursor-tRNAs.
Source: RNAcentral